This 74-nucleotide small nucleolar RNA is filed under the name Mastacembelus armatus (zig-zag eel). RNAcentral's name for it is "Small nucleolar RNA SNORD2 (ENSMAMG00000002786.2)". It matches the Rfam family "Small nucleolar RNA SNORD2". The record is from Rfam by way of RNAcentral. Lineage: Eukaryota; Metazoa; Chordata; Actinopteri; Synbranchiformes; Mastacembelidae.
GAGUGAAAUGAUGCUUAACCAUCUUUCGGGACUUACCUAUUGAUGGGGAUAACUUUUUUUUCCACUGAUCACUC